GUGGGUGUAUUCAUGUGUAUCACUCAUCAUAUGAGUCUGUAUGUGUUGUGUGACAAGUGGAAAAUGGUUUUGUUUCGCUUAAAGGCUUAAAAGCUUGCUGCUUUGUGGGGACCACAACCAUGUGUGAAUACCUUGGAAUUGCAUGGCAAAUUGUUCUAGUCUAAAACACAAUAUUUCUGAAAUUGUAAGUACAGAAUAAUCAAAAAGAUAACACCGAAUGCGAACGACAUGUAAACCCGAAGGACAUAGAUGACAUAGAAAAUAUGUUCUUGAAAGUAAUAUAAAGUCUAAAAAUGUUUGAAUGUUUUCAUUUGCACAAUCGAAAGCGUAAUUUAAAUUUGUUUGGCAAACUCAUUGAUUUUCAAACAAACUGUCCAAAACUCGACUGUAAAUUGCAAUCCCCUUUAUGGCAAUUAAAUCGAAACGAAAAUUCCAAAACCGUAAAAACAGUAAACAACAUUGUCACUUAAUUUAAUCACAUUUAUAAAAAACCACUAAUUGACUUUUGAACGUUAAUGCUCGAGAACCAUUGAAAAUGCUACCAGACACAAACACACACACACAUAUACACACACCAGACAGUGCCAUAAACACACACACAUGCAUUAACACUCAAAUUAUUGUACAUGGCUAGAAUUCAGGACAACAAAAUGUUGCCAUAAUUGGUAUUUCUGAUAUGCAUAAAAUUUUGGCCUGGUCAUAAGCUGCCAUUCCUCUCUUUUUCUCUCUCUCUCUUUUUAGCUGUGUCUCGUUCCUGCGCAUUUAUGUGUGUGUGUCUGCUGGUGUUUAUGUGAGGCUAAUUAAAUUAUUAUUUACCACAAAAUAGCGUUUCAUGGCAGAGCAGCAAUAUCUAAAAGAUACUGUAUAAGAGUGUUAUCAAGAUUCUGCGUUAAUUCGAUGAGAAUUUCCCUAGACGAUAUGCUGAAUGGUCAAACUAAAAGGCUACAAUAUGCCCGUCCUACUGUGAGCACAGUCCGUCAAUUUCUAUAUGAAAUCACAUUUAAUUUCCAUGUUCUGUGGAGCAAGAAAUGUAGCCAAAAAUAAAUAGCUUAGGGAUGGCUGCCAGCCAGGUUAACCAAAGCUCAAAUAAAAUUUCAGCU
Molecule: long non-coding RNA, 1100 nt
Organism: Drosophila sulfurigaster albostrigata
Lineage: Eukaryota; Metazoa; Arthropoda; Insecta; Diptera; Drosophilidae
Exons: 3
Source: RefSeq, a predicted model, not a curated record